GAUAAACGCUGGCGGCGCACAUAAGACAUGCAAGUCGAACGGAAGUCGUUAUAAAAAGGAAAGAAGAUUUAUCCGAUUGAAUUUUUAUAACAAUGGCUUUAGUGGCGGACUGGUGAGUAACGCGUGGGUAACCUGCCUUACACUGGGGGACAACAGUUAGAAAUGACUGCUAAUACCGCAUAAGCGCACAGUACCGCAUGGUACAGUGUGAAAAACUCCGGUGGUGUGAGAUGGACCCGCGUCUGAUUAGCUGGUUGGUGGGGUAACGGCCUACCAAGGCGACGAUCAGUAGCCGACCUGAGAGGGUGACCGGCCACAUUGGGACUGAGACACGGCCCAA
RNAcentral lists this ribosomal RNA (340 nucleotides) under uncultured bacterium. RNAcentral's name for it is "bacterial SSU rRNA". It matches the Rfam family "Bacterial small subunit ribosomal RNA", at positions 28 to 334 of the family's 1533-position model. The record is from RNAcentral.